UCCUCGAUCUGCUGCGGGCAGAUGUAGUGGAUGUGGCUGUCGAAGCCGCCCGCGGUGAGGAUCUUCCCCUCCCCCGCGAUCACUUCGGUGCCCGGCCCGACCACGAUGUCGACGCCCGGCUGGAUGUCCGGGUUGCCGGCCUUGCCGAGCCGGACGAUGCGCCCGCCCUUGAGGCCGACAUCGCAUUUCACGAUGCCCCAAUGGUCGAGGACGACCGCGUUGGUGAUGACGGUGUCGACCGCGCCCGCGGCGUUGGUCACCUGGCUCUGGCCCAUGCCGUCGCGGA
RNAcentral lists this small RNA (286 nucleotides) under Methylorubrum rhodinum. Its description in RNAcentral is "Methylobacterium rhodinum 5' ureB small RNA". It matches the Rfam family "5' ureB small RNA". Lineage: Bacteria; Pseudomonadati; Pseudomonadota; Alphaproteobacteria; Hyphomicrobiales; Methylobacteriaceae. The record is from Rfam by way of RNAcentral.